This is a ribosomal RNA of 577 nucleotides. The stretch from base 214 to 367 matches the Rfam family "5.8S ribosomal RNA".
GUAACAAGGUCUCCGUUGGUGAACCAGCGGAGGGAUCAUUACUGAGUUUACGCUCUACAACCCUUUGUGAACAUACCUAUAACUGUUGCUUCGGCGGGUAGGGUCCCCGUGACCCUCCCGGCCUCCCGCCCCCGGGCGGGUCGGCGCCCGCCGGAGGAUAACCAAACUCUGAUUUAACGACGUUUCUUCUGAGUGGUACAAGCAAAUAAUCAAAACUUUUAACAACGGAUCUCUUGGUUCUGGCAUCGAUGAAGAACGCAGCGAAAUGCGAUAAGUAAUGUGAAUUGCAGAAUUCAGUGAAUCAUCGAAUCUUUGAACGCACAUUGCGCCCGCCAGCAUUCUGGCGGGCAUGCCUGUUCGAGCGUCAUUUCAACCCUCAAGCUCUGCUUGGUGUUGGGGCCCUACAGCUGAUGUAGGCCCUCAAAGGUAGUGGCGGACCCUCCCGGAGCCUCCUUUGCGUAGUAACUUUACGUCUCGCACUGGGAUCCGGAGGGACUCUUGCCGUAAAACCCCCCAAUUUUCCAAAGGUUGACCUCGGAUCAGGUAGGAAUACCCGCUGAACUUAAGCAUAUCAAUA